Molecule: ribosomal RNA, 460 nt
Filed under: uncultured bacterium
Lineage: Bacteria
Description: partial 16S ribosomal RNA
Rfam family: Bacterial small subunit ribosomal RNA
Source: RNAcentral
CCUACGGGAGGCAGCAGUGAGGACUAUUGGUCAAUGGGCGCAAGCCUGAACCAGCCAAGUCGCGUGAGGGAUUACGGUCCUAUGGAUUUUACACCUCUUUUGUCGGGGAGCAAGGCCCGCCACGAGUGACGGGAAGGAGAGUACCCGAAGAAACAGCAUCGGCUAACUCCGUGCCAGCAGCCGCGGUAAUACGGAGGAUGCGAGCGUUAUCCGGAUUUAUUGGGUUUAAAGGGUGCGUAGGCGGAAGGUUAAGUCAGCGGUCAAAUGUCGGUGCUCAACACCGGCCUGCCGUUGAAACUGGUCGUCUUGAGUGAGCGAGAAGUAUGCGGAAUGCGUGGUGUAGCGGUGAAAUGCAUAGAUAUCACGCAGAACUCCGAUUGCGAAGGCAGCAUACCGGCGCUCAACUGACGCUGAGGCACGAAAGCGUGGGGAUCGAACAGGAUUAGAUACCCGUGUAGUC